Molecule: long non-coding RNA, 1720 nt
Organism: Homo sapiens (human)
Lineage: Eukaryota; Metazoa; Chordata; Mammalia; Primates; Hominidae
Product: long intergenic non-protein coding RNA 635
Source: Ensembl
AACAGCAGCGUAGCUGAACAUCUUACGGAUGGCCCAGGGCUCCAAAGGCUCGUUUCCUAAGUGAGAGAGAGCCUGGCUGAAGCUGUAUUACCAUUCAUUCUCCAGCCUCCGAAGUCUCAAAGCAUCACUUCCACCAUACUCUAACUGUCAAGACAAACACAAAGGCCCAGAAACUGCCAGACUGUCUUCUGAAGUGGCUAUAAUAUUUACACUCCCAUCAGCAGUGUAGAAGGGGUCUCACUAUGUUGUCUGGAGUGCUGUGGUGGAGUGGAGUGGCUAUUCACAGCUGAGUUUGCAGAGUAAACCACUACCCUGAAAUCUGGAAAGGCAGGUGCACCCACAGAUCCUCAGCUGAGAUCCAAUUACCUGAAAUAGAAGCUGCCAUUAGGAACACUUAAAAGAGCCUGUUCUGCUGGGACACAGAAUCACUUGCUCCAUCUCAUACAUUGAUGAUGAUUAAUUUGUAUGUGUACCUUCCAAAAAAGAUGGUUGUGUUUGAAUGGAGGCCUUCUGGACAGGAAAAUUGCAAAGUACAAUUAACAUUUGAGUCUGUCUGAGUCAUGAAGAAAUGGAGAUUACUGAAAAUAAUUCAUUUUGGUAUCUUCUUACAUCCUGAGAGACUAAUCUUUCCAAGUUCAUCUGAGGCUCCUCUUCUCCAUGACAACCUCAUCCAGGGAUUUCUUCCUGUCCUGGUGUUUUAUGACAUGUGGAAGGGGACUGUAGCAGGUGAUCUCCAAAGUCUCUGGAGACUUACUAAUGUGCAUCCUCAUCUCGCUUGUAAGGAUAAUAGCCUUCCUCCAAACCUCACACACUUUUGGAGGAGAUCACUUUUUUUAAAGUGCAUGGAAAUGUUUUGAAACAGUGAAAUCUAUAAUGAUAGGUUUCAUAAUUCUAACAUCCACACCAUAUGAAUCACAUCCUUCCUGAGAUAAUGAGCACACAAUUGCCUGGAUACCUGAAGGAAUGGAGACAGCGGCAGAAAACACUGCAGAGAGGUGGAAACAUCCGUUAAUAUUUUAAAAUCCCAUUACUGCUACCAACAAUAAUAAUGGAUGCAUAGAAAUAGAUCUGGAUUAGCUGAGCUUGAAACAGUCCAUCUCACACACACACAAAAGAAUUUCAGAUACAGUGAACCCACAUGUUGAAGCUUUCUAGUAUAAUAAAAAUUUCAACUGUUCUGUUGAAUCAUCUGCCUGAUUGGAGGCUACAGAAAAGAUGUCAUCUUAGGAGUGCUUGCUCUGAGUGAGGCUCAUCUUCAAAUCUGAAUGACCACAAGGAGAUUUGAUUAUACAUGUGAACACCUCAGAAGGCACAGCCCACCCAGAAGGCAGACAGGUCAGGCUGCUUUUUCUUCAUUGCUUGGAUUCAAUCCUCCGGGCGGCUCAGGCUCAAACAUAACUUAAGCAUGAUUAAACUUUAGAAGAAGCUGCCAGGAAGACUGUGAAAUCUUCAUGCCCAAGGAUCCCUAAAAUUAGGAGCAACAACCACUUGGCUCAGACGGUUUAUGGAGGCAAAGGUUUGGAUGGGAUUAGAGAUUUCUAAAUGAGGAGACAGACACUAGAGCUCACCGGCUCGCCCUCUCACUCCUACUCAUCUGAGAAGGCAGCCAGCUAACCCUUCAGCCAGGAAGAGGGUCCUCAUCAGAACCUGGCCGUGGUGGCAUCCAGAUCUUGAACCUCCGGACUCCAGACUGUGAGAAAAUAAGUGUGUUGUUUAAACU